RNAcentral lists this ribosomal RNA (315 nucleotides) under Triticum aestivum (bread wheat). Its description in RNAcentral is "partial small subunit ribosomal RNA". The record is from RNAcentral. Lineage: Eukaryota; Viridiplantae; Streptophyta; Magnoliopsida; Poales; Poaceae.
AUGUAUCAGCAAGCUAAGAGCGCCCGCGUCAACAGCAAAGCCCAACUUCCAUUGUGCUUGAAACUGCCUGCUGCUAUGUGUUUUGGCACGGGGAGAGUCCUUGGGGAGAAGAAGCUUCUCACAUCCGGUGCUGCUCCAACUGACAGGAGCAGGAACACCGCUCUGUUGCUGCAUUGGAUUGAUACGCGCUCCUCUUCGAGGCGUAAGAAGCCAGAAGAGGCGAAGAUUGCGAGGUCGAUUACCCUGAGGAUGCCUUUAAAAGAAAAAUCAGUGUCACCCUUUUGUACUUACUGUAUACAUGAACGUGCACUGUAA